GGGGAGGAGCCAGCGGAACAAAGGCCCCCGGUACGGGAUUUGGAGGGGGUGGGGGCAGGUGCGCGGUUGUCCCCAUUGGAGGGGAGCAGGGCGCAGCACCUCAGGGCAGGGCAGCCCCAAGCAGCCCCGCUGCCAGGCUGCUCGCCCGCUGGGGGAUGGAGGCUGCCCCCAGCCCCCGGGAAAGAGCCGCAGCUCGGUCCUUUCCCUGCCCUGGUCCUGGUCCCGGUCCCGGUCCCGGUGCCGGCCAGGUGAUGCUCUACUCCAGCUUUCGGCUGCGGGGCACACCGAGCAUGUUGCCAUCUGUCUAAAGUCACGAUUUAAGACCUUUUGUUAAAAUGGUGUAAAAUCACGCACAGAGCCAACAUUGAUUUAAAACCAAGCGCUGUCAUCUACUUUUGGCACAAGACAGAGGAGAGGCAAAAGCACAAGAAUUUUGAUUUGCAUCAAGCAAUAACUGCAAGCAACAAUAAAUUUAAAGCUAGAUUUUUGCAUGUUGUAAACUGGAUAGGACCAGGAGUUACUGACAAAACCAGCUGGUCAUGCAAGUUUAGCAAAUUCUCUGUAUUCCAACGCAUUGCCAUCUAAUCUGUCCUGUUUCCCCUGACACAUACUAACACAAUGAAGCUGGACAAUGGUUGAACAGCAAGUGCAUGUGAUAGUUCUGGCAAGACUAUUUUUGUUUUGAUUAAGCACAUAUUUAUCCAUGAGGGACUAGAAAAGCAAGGCCUUCUUCUUCAGGUCAUUCCGCUUCCAAAGUGCCAGACGAUCAAAUUCCUCAAUGCUCAUUUUGAAGACUUCCUGGAACUCUUCAGGGGACAAAUGCCUCUUGAAAAUGAAAAUACAAAGGCAUCAUUAAGCUCUUCUGUGCACAGGAACAUUUCUGCCCUUCCUAAGUUUUAAAACACACCACAAAAUAAUGCAUUUGUAUUUACAUUUAAAUUCCCAAAUUCUGGAAGAAAACACAUCAAAACCAAAUCAGCUUACAACAGCUGGGAAAUGAAAUCGUUAGCAUUAGCAACUUCUGAAAAAAACAAAUCUUUUCAAUAUAGUUCCAACUGAGUAGAAGCUACAGUCUUCAGGAAGAAGAUGUAUUUAUACAUGAUAUGCGAUGACAGAGCACACUGAGACAAAUUUAAGCGACUCCAGGACUUUAAAGAAACUAUUAACAAUGUAAUUUCAGAGUUGCAUUUGUUUUGCCUUGAUCUUUAAUGAGAGCAAUGGACAUCACACUGGUUUGUUAAUAGCAACCUUGUAACAAAGGAGAGAGCACACUGCUAAAUUCUUAAAUCCAGAAUGUGAUUAUCCAUGGGGAUAGACUUGCACCAGGAGCCCAAGUUGGAUAAAGCUUUUUUGAAACACCAAGAACUAUGCUUUUAUUUGAUGUUUUCAUAUAUGAGACAAAGACAAAAAGGAGAGAAAAACAACAUUAAGAAGGAGGUAGGAUAAUGAAUGUAUAUAGAGUUUGCCUAACAAUUACUAGUAUACGUGCAGAAAAGGCUGAAAAGAUAAAUGUAUGAAUUAGAAAUGAAAAGCAUACAAAAUUCUUUCGAUAACUGUGGGCUAACCCUUAUUCAAGCAUUGUAGUACCAUCAAUCAAGGUUCUGCUUCCAUUGUCUUAAGCACAUGCCAUCUAAAAGGGACAGAUUCAGUGCAAUGAAAAUUACAAAUUGAUUUUUUUUUAAACACAUCCUCUCCUUUUCCACAAAACUUUCCUUGAAACCUUUCUGUUAUUAUCCAAAAUUCUGGCAGGGAGCAUGCUAAUAUGCCCUGAUGAUGCCACAACGGUUUACCUGACUAGGGUGGACAUGACCUCGCUGGCCCUAUCUUACACAGCUAUUUUUUUGACAAAUUUGAAAGCAAAAUUUUACUUUCCACUUAUUAACAUUGAGUUUGUCUUUGUAAUGUAAAUUACACAAGGAAAAUUAAUAAAAUUGUUUGCAAAAUAUUACUAUAUUUAA
Long non-coding RNA from Cygnus atratus (black swan), 1958 nucleotides. RefSeq lists it as uncharacterized. The record is from RefSeq and is a predicted model, not a curated record. The transcript is spliced from 2 exons. Lineage: Eukaryota; Metazoa; Chordata; Aves; Anseriformes; Anatidae.